ACUGCUCAGUAACACGUGGAUAACCUACCCUAAGGUGGGAGAUAACCCCGGGAAACUGGGGAUAAUACCCCAUAGUCUAUGGAAGCUGGAAUGCUCUAUAGUUGAAAGAUUUAUCGCCUUAGGAUGGGUCUGCGGCCGAUUAGGUAGUUGUUGGGGUAACGGCCCAGCAAGCCUUUGAUCGGUACGGGUUGUGGGAGCAAGAGCCCGGAGAUGGAUUCUGAGACACGAAUCCAGGCCCUACGGGGCGCAGCAGGCGCGAAAACUUUACAAUGCGGGAAACCGUGAUAAGGGAACUCCGAGUGCCCGUAAACGCGGGCUGUCCAUCUGCUUAAAAAACAGGUGAAGAAAGGGCCGGGCAAGACCGGUGCCAGCCGCCGCGGUAAUACCGGCGGCUCGAGUGGUGGCCACUAUUACUGGGCUUAAAGCGUCCGUAGCUUGGUUGUUAAGUCUCUUGGGAAAUCUGUCGGCUUAACCGACAGGCGUUUAAGGGAUACUGGCAAUCUAGGGACCGGGAGAGGUGAGAGGUACUCCAGGGGUAGGAGUGAAAUCCUGUAAUCCUUGGGGGACCACCUGUGGCGUAGGCGUCUCACCAGAACGGCUCCGACAGUGAGGGACGAAAGCUGGGGGAGCAAACCGGAUUAGAUACCCGGGUAGUCCCAGCCGUAAACGAUGCGCGUUAGGUGUAUCGGUGACCACGAGUCACCGAGGUGCCGAAGGGAAACCGUGAAACGUGCCGCCUGGGAAGUACGGUCGCAAGGCUGAAACUUAAAGGAAUUGGCGGGGGAGCAC
This 789-nucleotide ribosomal RNA is filed under the name uncultured archaeon. Its description in RNAcentral is "bacterial SSU rRNA". It matches the Rfam family "Archaeal small subunit ribosomal RNA", at positions 85 to 879 of the family's 1478-position model. The record is from RNAcentral.